RNAcentral lists this ribosomal RNA (756 nucleotides) under Triticum aestivum (bread wheat). RNAcentral describes it as "partial small subunit ribosomal RNA". The record is from RNAcentral. Lineage: Eukaryota; Viridiplantae; Streptophyta; Magnoliopsida; Poales; Poaceae.
AUGCGCAAGGAUGGGCUUUCGGAGGCGGAGAGAGCGGUACGAUAUCGCCUUUACUGGCCUGAUGGCACAAGGAAGAAGUCUUCCAAAGACAAUCCGAAACCUAGGAAUAUCAGCCUAUUGGUUCAAGCUUUACUGGACAAGUACAAUGAAGAUCACCAUCUUUUAGGGGAUCUUGCAUAUGAACUUGAUGGUGUUGUGUGCUUCCAAGAAUUUUAUAUGGGGAAGAUUGGCUGCCUCAGUAUGUACUAUCAUCUCAAUUUUACUACAAAGACUAAAGGAUCUGAUAAUUUUCACGGUGGCAUCAACAAUCUAUUCUUUGCUGAAGUCACACAAAUAAAGGGCGAAAGUGUUGAAUAUGUGCUCAAUUGUUUCUGUAUGGUGAAACGCAAUGACAAUGGCCGAUGCUAUGGGUGCACCAGUUACGGAAAUGUUGAUUUGAAGCACCCUAUCAAUGCUCAUAAAUAUAAAGGUUGCCACUCUCGCCCACACAAAGUAUGGUGCGGUUUGGUCGAUCAAGGGGUACCUGAAUACAUCCAGAAUGAGGAGGAUAUGCUGGCGGAUGAGGAGGCUAGGAUAAGAUAUAUAUACAAGUGCCCUGAUGAUCGUACUAUUGUGGCAAAAUCGGAUGGUACAAGAAUGCCUGCUGUUUUGGCCAAGAGAGAGGAUGUUGGUUUGGCCAAACGAGAGAAUGCUGGUUUGGCCAAAAGAGAUGAUGGCCAAGGAAAAGGGAAAUACAUUGUACCUGCAAGGCGUUAG